Molecule: ribosomal RNA, 253 nt
Filed under: uncultured bacterium
Lineage: Bacteria
Description: partial 16S ribosomal RNA
Rfam family: Bacterial small subunit ribosomal RNA
Source: RNAcentral
UACGUAGGGUGCAAGCGUUGUUCGGAAUUACUGGGCGUAAAGGGCGCGUAGGCGGCUUAUCAAGUCAGGCGUGAAAUUCCCGGGCUCAACCUGGGGGCUGCGCUUGAUACUGAUUGGCUUGAAUGCGGGAGAGGAUAGUGGAAUUCCCAGUGUAGAGGUGAAAUUCGUAGAUAUUGGGAAGAACACCGGUGGCGAAGGCGGCUAUCUGGCCCGUAAUUGACGCUGAGGCGCGAAAGCGUGGGGAGCAAACAGG